Molecule: long non-coding RNA, 586 nt
Filed under: Pongo abelii (Sumatran orangutan)
Lineage: Eukaryota; Metazoa; Chordata; Mammalia; Primates; Hominidae
Description: lincRNA
Source: RNAcentral
AGUUCUGCGCUGUGAGCCGGGGCACAAAGAGCCCUCUGCACUCGCGCCGCAGGACCGCGGACCCAAGGUCCUUUCUCUGGCUGUGAUCCAUGCUUCUUCCUAGGGCAGGAUUACACUCUUUGAAUUUACUUCUUCAUCAAGGCAGUGCAGAGUGGUGGAAAGAGAAGCAGCUGAGUGCAGUUGGAGGCAUCUGUCCACCCAUGUGGUUCCAGACACGUUCAUGUGGCCACCAAGACCCCGUCGGCAUCACAGGAGUAACCAAGAGAGCAGCAAGUUCCUGGGACAGAGGAGAGAGAAGGGAAUUUCCAGGUUCUUCAGGACGUUCACAACCACACUGAGAAGCAUCUUUGCAGAUAAGUAUUUAAACUUACCAGCCCAUAGCCUACCAGCCUGCCCUCUUCUGGUCUGUGCAGGAAAGUGUAGUAUCCUAGAAUACCAAAGUGGGAGGGGAAACGGGUGAUGUAGCUCAUUCUCUUUUCUACCUCUAUGGAAGAAAGAAAGAGCCUGUCCCCAUUUUGUGGGGUCCCAGAAAGGGUGAUUUUUCACACUCCACAUUUGGCAUUAGGGCUAGUAUUUUAUAAACGUC